GUCCCCUUGUUCGUUCGGCCUCAGCUGGAGUUGCUCACUGGUGACAGGGAAUCUGACGUCUAAUCACAGUUAAUCGAGGAGAGAUGAUAGGAACUGAAAAAUGCAGCGACGGUGGCCGGAGAAGAAGGUGAUAAAGCAACAGAAUCAAAUAAAAAACUCGGGGUCUGAAAUCAAAACAGAGCAUCCUUUUCUUAGCCAAAUCCGGCGACUAUUCAGCUGGAAUCCAUCGUCCAAUGACUAGGAAAGUUGGGAAGAAGAAUUAAUUAGAGAAUAAGUCGAUCCUUUCCUGGAUUCUGACGGUCUGUGAACCCGAUUUUCAGCAGGGUUCUCCGAUGGUUGCUUCAAAGGAGAGGCCAUGCUUUUAAAUAGAAGGCCGAUCAGAGGUGGAAGGAAGCCGAUAGCAGUAUUGACUCCCAUGAGGGGUUGGAGUCAGAGUUGGAGGAGGAAAGAAAGACUCCUUUGGGAGCCUAGCAGCUUCAACAAUUUAUGUGGCAACUGGUGUUUUCGUAGAGAAGUUCAAGUGACAGCUAUGUCUCCUAGGAGGCAUUUUAGAAUCUUUUAGGUUGGCUUUGCUUUUGUUGACAAAUCUUGUGCGGUGCAAUUUAGACAGCUAUGAAGUUGGACUUUGCGUACUUAAAUGCAUG
RNAcentral lists this long non-coding RNA (644 nucleotides) under Elaeis guineensis (African oil palm). RNAcentral describes it as "long non-coding RNA (EGUI_LNC014814)". Lineage: Eukaryota; Viridiplantae; Streptophyta; Magnoliopsida; Arecales; Arecaceae. The record is from RNAcentral.